GUUUGAUCCUGGCUCAGGACGAACGCUGGCGGCGUGCUUAACACAUGCAAGUCGAACGGAAAGGCCCUUUCGGGGGUGCUCGAGUGGCGAACGGGUGAGUAACACGUGGGUGAUCUGCCCUGCACUCUGGGAUAAGCCUGGGAAACUGGGUCUAAUACCGGAUAGGACUACGCACUGCAUGGUGUGUGGUGGAAAGCGUUAUGUAGCGGUGUGGGAUGGGCCCGCGGCCUAUCAGCUUGUUGGUGGGGUGAUGGCCUACCAAGGCGACGACGGGUAGCCGGCCUGAGAGGGUGUCCGGCCACACUGGGACUGAGAUACGGCCCAGACUCCUACGGGAGGCAGCAGUGGGGAAUAUUGCACAAUGGGCGCAAGCCUGAUGCAGCGACGCCGCGUGGGGGAUGACGGCCUUCGGGUUGUAAACCUCUUUCACCAGGGGCGAAGGGAGACUGACGGUACCUGGAGAAGAA
RNAcentral lists this ribosomal RNA (467 nucleotides) under Mycobacterium sp. DM-11. RNAcentral's name for it is "bacterial SSU rRNA". It matches the Rfam family "Bacterial small subunit ribosomal RNA", at positions 11 to 489 of the family's 1533-position model. The record is from RNAcentral. Lineage: Bacteria; Bacillati; Actinomycetota; Actinomycetes; Mycobacteriales; Mycobacteriaceae.